RNAcentral lists this ribosomal RNA (253 nucleotides) under uncultured bacterium. RNAcentral's name for it is "partial 16S ribosomal RNA". It matches the Rfam family "Bacterial small subunit ribosomal RNA", at positions 524 to 776 of the family's 1533-position model. The record is from RNAcentral.
UACAGAGGGUGCAAGCGUUAAUCGGAAUUACUGGGCGUAAAGCGUGCGUAGACGGUUAUGUAAGUCAGAUGUGAAAGCCCCGGGCUCAACCUGGGAAUUGCAUUCGAGACUGCAUUGCUGGAGUACGGAAGAGGAGGGCGGAAUUCCCGGUGUAGCGGUGAAAUGCGUAGAUAUCGGGAGGAACAUCAGUGGCGAAGGCGGCCCUCUGGUCCAGUACUGACACUCAAGUGCGAAAGCGUGGGGAGCAAACAGG